This 449-nucleotide ribosomal RNA is filed under the name uncultured bacterium. Its description in RNAcentral is "bacterial SSU rRNA". It matches the Rfam family "Bacterial small subunit ribosomal RNA", at positions 339 to 793 of the family's 1533-position model. The record is from RNAcentral.
GUACGGGAGGCAGCGGUGAGGAAUCUUGCACAAUGGGCGAAAGCCUGAUGCGGCAACGCCGCGUGGGGGAUGAAGCUUCUCGGAGUGUAAACCCCUUUCGACCCGGACGAAUGCCCGCAAGGGUUUGACGGUACGGGUAUAAGAAGCCCCGGCUAACUACGUGCCAGCAGCCGCGGUAAGACGUAGGGGGCCAGCGUUGCUCGGAAUUACUGGGCGUAAAGGGUCCGUAGGCGGUGCGGUAAGUCGGGAGUGAAAUCUCUGGGCUUAACUCAGAGGCUGCUUCCGAAACUACCGUGCUAGAGUGCGAGAGAGGCAAGUGGAAUUGCGGGUGUAGCGGUGAAAUGCGUAGAUAUCCGCAGGAACAUCCGAGGCGAAAGCGGCUUGCUGGAUCGCAACUGACGCUGAGGGACGAAAGCUAGGGGAGCAAACAGGAUUAGAUACCCGUGUAU